GACGAACGCUGGCGGCGUGCUUAACACAUGCAAGUCGAACGGUGAAGCGCCUUCCUUUUUGGUGGGUGUGGAUGAGUGGCGAACGGGUGAGUAACACGUGAGUAACCUGCCCCCUUCUUCUGGAUAACCGCAUGAAAGUGUGGCUAAUACGGGAUAUUCUGGUUCUGUCGCAUGAUGGGUCUGGGAAAGAUAUUGCUUCGGUGGGGGAUGGGCUCGCGGCCUAUCAGCUUGUUGGUGGGGUGAUGGCCUACCAAGGCGGUGACGGGUAGCCGGCCUGAGAGGGUGGACGGUCACACUGGGACUGAGACACGGCCCAGACUCCUACGGGAGGCAGCAGUGGGGAAUAUUGCACAAUGGGCGCAAGCCUGAUGCAGCGACGCCGCGUGAGGGAUGGAGGCCUUCGGGUUGUGAACCUCUUUCGCCAGUGAAGCAGGCCUGCCUCGUUUGUGGGUGGGUUGACGGUAGCUGGAUAAGAAGCGCCGGCUAACUACGUG
This 494-nucleotide ribosomal RNA is filed under the name uncultured bacterium. RNAcentral's name for it is "partial 16S ribosomal RNA". It matches the Rfam family "Bacterial small subunit ribosomal RNA", at positions 28 to 507 of the family's 1533-position model. The record is from RNAcentral.